UACAGAGGUCCCAAGCGUUGUUCGGAUUCACUGGGCGUAAAGGGUGCGUAGGUGGCCGGGCAAGUUCGAUGUGAAAGCUCGGAGCUCAACUCCGAAAUGGCAUUGAAUACUAUUCGGCUUGAGGGUCGGAGGGGAGACUGGAAUUCUCGGUGUAGCAGUGAAAUGCGUAGAUAUCGAGAGGAACACCAGUGGCGAAGGCGAGUCUCUGGACGACUCCUGACACUGAGGCACGAAAGCUAGGGGAGCAAACAGG
This 253-nucleotide ribosomal RNA is filed under the name uncultured bacterium. RNAcentral describes it as "partial 16S ribosomal RNA". It matches the Rfam family "Bacterial small subunit ribosomal RNA", at positions 524 to 776 of the family's 1533-position model. The record is from RNAcentral.